CAAGUCGAACGCGAAAAGUCCCCUUCGGGGGACAAGUAGAGUGGCGUCCGGGUUGAGUAACACGUAGGUAAUCUACCUUCGGGUGGGGAAUAACGCAGGGAAACUUGCGCUAAUACCGCAUAAUGCAGCGGCACCACAUGGUGACAGUUGUUAAAGCGGGGGAUUUUCGAACCUCGCGCCUGAAGAGGAGCCUGCGGCAGAUUAGCUAGUUGGUAAGGUAAUGGCUUACCAAGGCGACGAUCUGUAACCGGCCUGAGAGGGCGGUCGGUCACACUGACACUGACAUACGGGUCAGACUCCUACGGGAGGCAGCAGUCGGGAAUUUUGGGCAAUGGGCGAAAGCCUGACCCAGCAACGCCGCGUGAAGGAUGAAAUCCUUCGGGAUGUAAACUUCGCAAGAAUGGGAAGAAUGAGUAGGGGCUAAUACUCCCUAUGAUGACGGUACCAUUUGUAAGCUCCGGCUAACUCCGUGCCAGCAGCCGCGGUAAUACGGGGGGAGCAAGCGUUGUUCGGAUUUACUGGGCGUAAAGGGCGCGUAGGCGGCCAGCGCAAGUCAGUUGUGAAAUCUCCGGGCUUAACUCGGAACGGUCAACUGAUACUGCGCGGCUAGAGUGCGGAAGGGGCAACUGGAAUUCUCGGUGUAGCGGUGAAAUGCGUAGAUAUCGAGAGGAACACCUGCGGCGAAGGCGGGUUGCUGGGCCGACACUGACGCUGAUGCGCGAAAGCCAGGGGAGCGAACGGGAUUAGAUACCCCGGUAGUCCUGGCCUUAAACGAUGGAUGCUUGGUGUCUGGAGUUUUAUAGUCUCCGGGUGCCGCAGCUAACGCGUUAAGCAUCCCGCCUGGGGAGUACGGUCGCAAGACUGAAACUCAAAGGAAUUGACGGGGACCCGCACAAGCGG
RNAcentral lists this ribosomal RNA (900 nucleotides) under uncultured Pseudomonadota bacterium. RNAcentral describes it as "bacterial SSU rRNA". It matches the Rfam family "Bacterial small subunit ribosomal RNA", at positions 58 to 932 of the family's 1533-position model. The record is from RNAcentral. Lineage: Bacteria; Pseudomonadati; Pseudomonadota.